This is a non-coding RNA of Doryrhamphus excisus (bluestripe pipefish), 998 nucleotides long. The record is from RefSeq and is a predicted model, not a curated record. NCBI's taxonomy places the organism in Eukaryota, Metazoa, Chordata, Actinopteri, Syngnathiformes, Syngnathidae.
CUGAUGGGCUUCUCCUUGUUUACUCCAUCCUGGCUUGUUCCUAUUUUCCCAAUAUCCAGCUCUUCUUGAAGCCGGUUCUUCUCCUGCUGAGCUUUGUAGAGCUGCAACUGGAGACCUCGCUGGGAUUGCUGGGCAUGCUGGGAAACUUGUCGGAGCUUCGCGGCGUAGAGGCGCUUCAGCUCCUCCACCUCCUUCUCCCACAGACGUUGUUUGCCUUCAAAUACCUGCACGCAAUGCCGACACAAACAUGCGGCUCAGGCUUCAUACAAGAUGUUUACACUGAGGAGCGACUCACCUGAGCUAUAGCACCCUCGCUCUCGUCCAGGUUUCUUUUCAUCUGCUUUAGCUCGUGUUCUUUCUCCACCAGACGUUCCUCAAGAUCCCGCACCUUGGAGGAGGUCAGCUUUUCAGUGUGGACAUGGUUUCUGCGUGCCACACGCUUUUUUGAACAGUACUCACCACUUCUUCAACAGACAUGGAGAGAGUCCAAUCAUAUGGAGGCGGCGCCUCCCCUCCGUAUGGCACCAAGCGGCUCAGCGUGGCCAUGCUGCGACACGCCAUCUCCCCUAAAGCCACGCCCCCUGAGCCAACAGCCUUGCCGCCAAACGAGAGCGGAGAUCAACCUGAUGUGAGCCAGGUGUGGGCGGAACGGGGGACGGUAUGGCGGCAGGCUGGUCAUGGAGUUAUGGCCCGAGUCCGAUAGAUUGUCAUCCUCUUGGCUCGCCCCACGCGCUGAAGAAUGAGCCUACACAGAAGGGGCAAUAUGGCGGAAAUAAGAUGGCAGAGAAUGAUGGAAGAGGAAAUGUAUAACGAUAACCAUAGAGCUGAAAAUGGAACAUUGGAAAGCAGUACAGUACACACAUCCAUGUCCUGGCUGCUCAGCACAACAACUGGAAGAGGACUCACAAAGUCUCUAAACACUUGGAUCCCUUCACUUAUCAAAGGGAAAAGGACUCCAAACGUCUCUAAACACUCGGUUCCCAUCACUUAUCAAAGGG